RNAcentral lists this unclassified non-coding RNA (233 nucleotides) under soil metagenome. Its description in RNAcentral is "partial internal transcribed spacer 1". The record is from RNAcentral.
AAAGAUUUUUGGUAUAAUUUUUUGUGGUCAAUUGAUCUCAGAAAAUAAUUCACCAUUUGUGCAUUGUUAUUAAAGAUAUACUUUGGUUUGAGCUUUGAUUUCUUUAUCGAAAUCAACUUCUUGCUAACUCUGUCCUUUAAAGGACAGUUGGCUAUGAAGCGUGCCUACCAAGGUUUUUUUAUCAAACUCUUUGUAUUCUGUCUGACCUAAAUAAAUAAUUAAUAAUUAAAUCA